CUUGACUGGUUUCAUGGAGAGAAAGUUAAAACAUCAGAAAAAAAGCUGAGCAGUAAUGACAACAGGAUGACAGAAAUGUAAUUGAGUAAAUAUUUUUUUCCUUACAGAUGUAGAACCUAAAGUAAUAAGAAGUAUAAAGUACUGAUGCCAAAACCUACUCUGAAAAGCCCAUUUGUUCAAGAAAUUUAUAAGUAAGAGUAAAUGUUACUUUUUACUAAGUGUCCUACCUCUGAUCAAGAGUAAGUACCUAGCAUUAGGGUUAAAUGGAAGAUGUGCUGUUAGUAUGCAAUUUUGAGCCUCAUAAAUUGGAUUAGAUUCUUCUUCUUCUUCUUCCUCUUCUUACAUGAAAUAUGCUGAAAAAGGCUCCAGAAAGAAUUUCUGUACUCUAGCAUGUUCUCCCUUCCUUCAGUGAAUGCAACCGGGGCACAGAAUGGGAGAGACACAACCAAAAAUCCUUCACAAAAGACACAACUUUGAAAACAGAAUGACUUCAGUGUGAAGCCCUCUAAACACGUCGUUAAAAUAUCCCCAUCUUUCUACUUCGCACUACGGACAAAAUCUCCGAAACAGACAUUCCAUCUCUUCGUCCCUGUGCCGAAAGCUACAUUUCAGCUACUUUGCUCAUUAGUCUUCCAAUUGCUGUUUGACUCCUUAAAUUAUUUAGGGGUUUGUGAUUCUUUGUGUGCACACAGUAUGACGGCCAUCGUGUCCUCAUUCUCUCGCUCUUGUUCAUUGCCUCCCUCCUCCCCCUCCUCAUUUGGCUCCCCUCUUUGAGAGACACUCAGGUGUGGCCAGACCUGCCAUAGCACCGUAAGAGAGGGACGAGAGGGCAGCCUGCAUUUCCUGACCUGGGUUUCCAGCAGCAGCACUCAUGAGCUUCUCAGAUCACCUGGAAGCGUACAUGACCAAGGAAUGGAAGAAGCAAUAUAUCAGCUAUUCGCUCUUGGAGGCGAUGCUUUGCGCUGGUGUGAGGCACAGGUCCUCCUCGGAUGGGGGUAAGGUAGCACUUUUACAUACUACACAGCUACUAAAAAGCUUCUAUCUAUCUAUCUAUCUAUCUAUCUAUCUAUCUAUCUUCAGGUAUUUUGGCUGACAGUGGGUGGGAUAUCAGGGCUGUAUUGUAUGACAAUAGUACCACAUACAGCUGUGUGACCUGGACAGUUACUACUUCUGGUACAGGGACUUCCUUUAACUAACAGCGAUUAAUUCUGCCUGAAUAAUUCAUGGCCAAACUAAACAAAAGCAAUACCUUUUAUACUUGGAUGGAGAAGCAAAUUGUAAGAGGAGGAGUCUACCAACAUGGUCUACUACCCACUUAUUCAGUAAAAUGUCACAAAUAAUACAAUCCACUUGCUCAUCACAAAUUCUGAUAAAAAUAACUAGUAAUUGAUUAUUAUUAUUAUUAUUAUUUUGAAGGCACCAAGGUACGAAACACAUUGAGUCAAAUUUGCAAUGCAUGUGCAGAUGAACUGCGGUAAGCGUAUAUUUAAAGCAACCCAAGCGAGCUCUCCCUUCACUCUACCCCUCCUACAUCUCCCUGGGGUCCUGCUAUGAUAAUGACGUGCAGUGCCCAGUGCUAUUGUCUGCAAUAACAAUACAGAGAAAGACAGAUGGAUUCAGAUAAACUUGCCAAGCUCGCUAUGAAUGCCUCCAAAACCAUCAUUCUUUCCCUGGUAAGGACUGGUAAGUACCUUUCUAACAAUAACUCUCUCAUCC
Molecule: long non-coding RNA, 1716 nt
Filed under: Scleropages formosus (Asian bonytongue)
Lineage: Eukaryota; Metazoa; Chordata; Actinopteri; Osteoglossiformes; Osteoglossidae
Description: lncRNA (ENSSFOG00015024569.1)
Source: RNAcentral